This 4523-nucleotide unclassified non-coding RNA is filed under the name Leishmania donovani. Its description in RNAcentral is "gene:LdHU3.32.2840(CDS-product:hypothetical_prote in_conserved)". Lineage: Eukaryota; Euglenozoa; Kinetoplastea; Trypanosomatida; Trypanosomatidae. The record is from RNAcentral.
AAAAGCACCAGAACAAUAACGGAGACGCUGCACCAAAAAAAAGCAACAAAGCAAAAAGAUCGCGUUGACGUAAAGCCUAGUAACCGUUAAGAAGGGGAAACGCACUAUCAAACGCAGGUUAAAAGGGACAACGCAACUGCCAUCUAAGGCUUGAUUAACUAAGUUGUUGUCCUUUUUUUUUUCGCGUGUUCUUCCAAGCACGCACGUUAGGAUUUCUUUUUCUUUACCUUUCCGUCAGGAGAGCAAGGGCGGUAGCACGCGAACAACUCUCCGCUAACUACACAAAGCAUAGAGCAAGAGAAGAGACAGGAAAACGCGAGCAGGUAACAAAAGCGUUUUGUCUCUUAUCGACACUCCUCCUCCGCGCAGCACGCAUCUACGUCUUUAUUUAUAUAACUCGCAACGACGCCUUCUUUUGCUUACCAUGGACUCGAGUCAUCUCAUCGCACUGCUGAAUGGACUGCGCUCCGCCGACAACCAAGAGCGCAAGUCCGCUGAGGAGCACUACAAUGGCAUGGUUGCCUCCAGUCCUGUUUGGAUGAUGUGUGCCUUGGCGGAGACUAGUGCGACUUCGCAGGACACGGGUGUGAAGACCAUGAGCUUGGUGCUGCUGCGCAAGCUCUUCAACGCUACCCCGUCACCAUAUGCCGCGUCCGAUGCGGUAGCGCGCGCUGCGGUGAAGGCGCAUAUGCUCGCUGUGAUCAACUCUGCUUCUCAGGGUGGCCUGCGCUCGCCUGCUGCGGCGUGCGUCAGUGCUCUGGCGGUGCAGGUGUUUCAGGAGAAGGAGGACUGGAAUGAGCUGUGGACGAGCGUUAUGACCAUUCUCGGCGACGCCAAGGGCGACACGGCGCUGAGGACGAUGUGCUGCGAAAUCGUCCAGGCAACCUCGAUGGCCAUGGCUGCGUACUUCCAAUCUCAUGCCGAUACGCUAGCGACGGGCUUGGAGACGUGCUUCAUGCAAGAGACAGACGGUGCCGACCUCAAGAAGGCCGCCUUCGAGGCGACGAUUCGUCUGUCAAACCUUGGCAUGGCGGACCGUCUGCGUCCGCUGGUGCCGAAGAUGCUGAGUGUCAUCGAGGCCUACCUAAACCAGGGCGAGUGGGAGUCGGUGGAGUCGAUCCUGGAGGCCACUGUGGAGGGAAUGUCGUCGAGCAUUAGCCUCUUCCAGCAUGAUGCCGAGCACCUUCUGGGGCUUAUGAUGCAGGUGGCCGCCGCACCUCAGGUGGACGCCGGCGCGCGCCACAUGGCGGUGGAGCUGAUGCUGACAUACUGCGAGGAAGUUCCGAAGACCGUGCGCAAGGUGCCGCAGUUCGCCUCAUCCUUUUUCGAGUUGCUCUUCCAGUACACUCUGAACCCCGACUACGGUGCGGACUGGGACGUCACCGGCCGCGACAAAGACGAAGACAACCUGGAGGAGAACUCGGAUCUGGUGAUCGGGUCGAGCGGGCUGGAUCGCAUUUCGAACGCCCUCGGCGGCCGCAAGCUUCAAAAAACGGCGCAGACGCUGUUUGCACAGAACAUCAACUCGCCGCAGUGGCAGCAUAGAAACGCCGCGGUGCUGCUUAUCUGCUACGCAGGCGAGGGCAUGCGCACUGUCUUUUCGUCGCAGCUGCCGUCGCUGGUGCAGAUGGUCGUGCCGCACGUGAAGGACGAGUCCAAGUACGUGCGCGCCAACACGCUUGACUGCCUCGCACAGCUCUCCCAGGACUUUGCGCCGGAGCUGCAGAUGAAGGUGCACGGCGCCAUCCUGCCUGCAGUCGUUGCUGCUCUGCGCGACGACGUGCCGCGCGUGGCGACAUGCGCGGCCAACUGCCUUGACAGCUUCAUUGACAGCGUGACGGGUGAUGAGGAGGAAGACGACGACGAGGACGGCCUCGACGAGUUCCGCGCCAUCCUGCAUCCGUACAUAGAGGUGAUGUGCGGUGAUUGCCUAGCGAUGAUCAGAGGGACACAGCACUUCUUUGUCCGUGAGGCGGCGCUGGGCGUGCUCUCGUCAGUGUCCUCAACGUGCAAGGGCAUGCUUCUGCCGUACGUGGAGGCGCUCGUGCCUGUCUACCAGGAGGUGCUGAGCUUUCCGGACACACCGGAGGCGAUGAAGACAAAGUGCAAGGCCAUCGAGUGUGUGACGCUGCUCGCCUGCGGUGUUGGCCGUGAUGCGUUUGCCAAGUACGCGCAUGAUGUGUGCAACUACUUGAAACAGCUGUGCGACGGCGGCCUCACGAAUGAUGACCCGCGCACACGUUUCGUGAUGCGUGGCUGGACAUGCAUGGUGGAGUGUCUCAAGGACCAGGCCCAGCCGUACCUCAGCACCGUCAUCCCCAUCCUGCUGAACAUGAUGAGCAUGGAGUGCGACAUGGAGAUCGCGAACGUGGGCGUCGGCGAGGACGACGAUGACGAUGACCUGCCGGACGGUGUGGAGAAGAUGCGCUUUGUUAUCCCGGGCGUCGGUGAGCGAGUCGUGACGAUUCACACAAGCCUCAUCGAGGACAAGGAGCUUGCCUCCAACGUGGUCUUCGCGAUGCUGAAGGACCUUGGCAUCGGACUGGCCCCAUAUUUCUGCGAUAUUGCGAACGCGGCCAUGGGCCAGCUGUCCUUCAUUGCUGGUGAGGCUGUUCGUGAGAGCGGCGCGUCGAUGCUCGAAGAGAUACUGAAGUGCUACGAGGAGAUGAAGGACCCGGCGGCGCAGCAGCUGGCCGAGGCAGCUCUGCCGAAGCUGAUGGAGGCGCUCGGCGAGGAGUCGGAAAACAGCGUGAUGGAGGUGAUGCUGCGGUGCAUUGGUCGCUGCGUUAGCGUGCACCCGGCAAUCAUGAGUCCCACCAACACGGCCCUCGUGUGUGACAAGGUAAUGGCUGCUUUGGAGGUUGUGGUAAAGCGCCGCAACGAGUGCCUGCAGAAGAAGGCGACGGAGAACGAUGAGGAUGAGCUCGACGCGCUUGAGGUGGAGGACGAGGAGGUCCAGCUGACCAUCUCCUCCAUGUGUGACUUGAUUGGCACUCUUCUCGCUGCCUCGAAGGAGGUGUUCGCAGCGCCGUUCCUUGAGAAAGCCUUUCCCGUGCUCGGUGAGUGGCUUCAGGCGUCGACGGACGACUUUUACAUGACGCGUGCCGCCGGCAUUCUGAGCGACUUUGUGACGCACGCGCCACAGUCGAUUGUUCCGUCGCUGCCACAGAUCUGUACGAGCUCGUUGACGAUCGCGUCGUCGUCCUCCGACGACGGGCUGCUGCAGAGCGACUUUUACCUCAUGAACGUCAUUGUCCAGCUGCUCGGCUCGCACGCAACUACGAACAUGGGUGUCGACGGCGGUGAGUACGCUGUACACGUGCAGCAGGUGGCCGAAAAGUACUUCUCGUCGAACCUGGUGAAUCAGGAGGAGUACACACACUGCACCUGUAACGUGAUAAGCCUGUACGUGUCGCUGCUGAACUUCUACGGCACGACGGCGCUCCAGCAGGCGGCAACAGCGAUGCUGACAGUAGUGGGCAAGGCGCUGCCGGCGAAGGAUGACGAGAUAGAGGCCCGCCGCAUCCACGAUGUGGUUCUCGGGUGGGUGACGAACAACCAUCCCGUCCUGCAAGCCCUCCCCGGCUCCACUGCCGGAUUUUUGACUUGCGUGAAGGCAGCUAGCCCCAGCUGCCUCUCCGAGCAGGCGAAGCAGUACCUUGCCAGUAUGUAAGUACUACUGACGUUAGUGGUGUAUGUGUGCGUGAAUUGCGUAAGAGCUGAGAGGGUGAAGAAGGAAAGGAAGUCCAAAAAAAAAGAAGAGAGUGGAAACGAGAUUGCAACUUGUUUGAGCGCAGCGCGUUGCGAGAGGAAGGGGGACGGCGAGGGGAUGCCCAUGGAGGACGUUUCGCCAGCACAUGCACAUCCUAUUUUCUUCCCUUACCCGUCCCUGUGGCGCCCACCUCUCGCAGGUCCCUCUCUCGGUGUCUCUCUCUCUGCCUCUGUCUCUUUCGUUUUGCUUUCCUGGUUGCAUCGCCUCGUUUUCGCGUUAUUAAGACUUUAAUGUAAUGCGAAAGGGAGAAAUAGGAAAACGCGAUGCAAAGGCCUUGCAGCAGGAAAUGAGGGGCUGUGUGGGGGUGGUCUAUAGAUGAACAGAGCCGACGCCGGAUACAGGGACGUGUACACGAAGAACAAGGGGGGGGGGUGGAGGUGUAGAGGGGCGCUUGUAAGCGGCGCGGCGACUUGCUUGGUGUAUUGGCCCCAACCUCCUCUCCUCGCUUUCUCUCUCGCUUUCUCUCCUCAUGUUCGUUUCCACAGCCUGUUUGCUGCACCUAUUCCCUCCGUCCCUCUCUGCCCAUUCCGGCGUGCGUGCUAUUCCGUGGUGCAGUGGAGUUGUAUUGCCUCGCUUGUUUCUUUUCGAUGAUGAUACCUUUUUAUUCUUAGGUGUGCUUCUGCAAUGAUUCUAAGUUUCUCUGUGUGCAUGUGUGCAUCAUGGUGCGUGUGCGUUAGCUUCUCUUCCUUUUCUUGGUAAUGUUUUCAUGUGUGUGCCUUUUACAUGACGCUCUCUCAAAUUAAAGGCGCAU